UCCCUGAGACUUAGAGUCUCCUGAAGGAACGUUGAAGACGACGACGUUGAUAGGCCGGGUGUGUAAGCGCAGCGAUGCGUUGAGCUAACCGGUACUAAUGAACCGUGAGGCUUAACCUUACAACGCCGAAG
RNAcentral lists this ribosomal RNA (131 nucleotides) under Salmonella enterica subsp. enterica serovar Heidelberg. Its description in RNAcentral is "partial 23S ribosomal RNA". It matches the Rfam family "Bacterial large subunit ribosomal RNA", at positions 2796 to 2925 of the family's 2925-position model. Lineage: Bacteria; Pseudomonadati; Pseudomonadota; Gammaproteobacteria; Enterobacterales; Enterobacteriaceae. RNAcentral also lists the same sequence under 9 other names. The record is from RNAcentral.